RNAcentral lists this ribosomal RNA (460 nucleotides) under uncultured bacterium. RNAcentral describes it as "partial 16S ribosomal RNA". It matches the Rfam family "Bacterial small subunit ribosomal RNA", at positions 338 to 795 of the family's 1533-position model. The record is from RNAcentral.
CCUACGGGCGGCAGCAGUGAGGAAUAUUGGUCAAUGGACGAGAGUCUGAACCAGCCAAGUAGCGUGAAGGAUGACUGCCCUAUGGGUUGUAAACUUCUUUUAUAUGGGAAUAAAAUGUUCCACGUGUGGGAUUUUGUAUGUACCAUAUGAAUAAGGAUCGGCUAACUCCGUGCCAGCAGCCGCGGUAAUACGGAGGAUCCGAGCGUUAUCCGGAUUUAUUGGGUUUAAAGGGGGCGUAGGUGGAUUGUUAAGUCAGUUGUGAAAGUUUGCGGCUCAACCGUAAAAUUGCAGUUGAAACUGGCAGGCUUGAGUACAGUAGAGGUGGGCGGAAUUCGUGGUGUAGCGGUGAAAUGCUUAGAUAUCACGAAGAACUCCGAUUGCGAAGGCAGCUCACUGGACUGCAACUGACACUGAGGCUCGAAAGUGUGGGUAUCAAACAGGAUUAGAUACCCCAGUAGUC